AUUGAACGCUGGCGGCAGGCCUAACACAUGCAAGUCGAGCGGAUGAAGGGAGCUUGCUCCUGGAUUCAGCGGCGGACGGGUGGGUAAUGCCUAGGAAUCUGCCUGGUAGUGGGGGAUAACGUCCGGAAACGGGCGCUAAUACCGCAUACGACCUGAUGGAGAAAGUGGGGGAUCUUCGGACCUCACGCUAUCAGAUGAGCCUAGGUCGGAUUAGCUAGUUGGUGGGGUAAAGGCCUACCAAGGCGACGAUCCGUAACUGGUCUGAGAGGAUGAUCAGUCACACUGGAACUGAGACACGGUCCAGACUCCUACGGGAGGCAGCAGUGGGGAAUAUUGGACAAUGGGCGAAAGCCUGAUCCAGCCAUGCCGCGUGUGUGAAGAAGGUCUUCGGAUUGUAAAGCACUGUAAGUUGGGAGGAAGGGCAGUAAGUUAAUACCUUGCUGUUUUGACGUUACCAACAGAAUAAGCACCGGCUAACUUCGUG
This 484-nucleotide ribosomal RNA is filed under the name uncultured bacterium. Its description in RNAcentral is "partial 16S ribosomal RNA". It matches the Rfam family "Bacterial small subunit ribosomal RNA", at positions 30 to 507 of the family's 1533-position model. The record is from RNAcentral.